RNAcentral lists this ribosomal RNA (467 nucleotides) under uncultured bacterium. RNAcentral describes it as "partial 16S ribosomal RNA". It matches the Rfam family "Bacterial small subunit ribosomal RNA", at positions 28 to 507 of the family's 1533-position model. The record is from RNAcentral.
GACGAACGCUGGCGGCGUGCUUAACACAUGCGAGUCGAACGGAAAGGCCUCUUUCGGGGGGUACUCGAGUGGCGAACGGGUGAGUAACACGUGAGUAACCUGCCCUUGACUUUGGGAUAACUUCAGGAAACUGGGGCUAAUACCGGAUAGGAGCUCCUGCUGCAUGGUGGGGGUUGGAAAGUUUCGGCGGUUGGGGAUGGACUCGCGGCUUAUCAGCUUGUUGGUGGGGUAGUGGCUUACCAAGGCUUUGACGGGUAGCCGGCCUGAGAGGGUGACCGGCCACAUUGGGACUGAGAUACGGCCCAGACUCUUACGGGAGGCAGCAGUGGGGAAUAUUGCACAAUGGGUGGAAGCCUGAUGCAGCAACGCCGUGUGCGGGAUGACGGCCUUCGGGUUGUAAACCGCUUUCGCUCAUGACGAAGCUUUGUGUGACGGUAGUGGGUAAAGAAGCACCGGCUAACUACGUG